CGAGUAGAGACUUUGUCAACGCGAGGGGGCUCAGCCCACGCUGGCUAGAAAAUCCUCGCUGCUAGUUACCAAUGCGCCCGUACCGCAAACCGACACUGGUAGGUGAUGGUAAGAACCAUAAGGGGAUCGGGAGAACCUUCGUUAAGGAACUCGGCAAAUUAGAUCCGUAACUUCGGGAGAAGGAUCGCCCCUGGUUGUGUAGGAAUUUACUUUUGAAGCAACUGGGGGCCGCAGUGAGCAGGCCCAGGCGACUGUUUAUCAAAAUCACAGGUCUCUGCAAAAGCGAAAGCUGACGUAUAGGGGCUGACGCCUGCCCAGUGCCGGAAGGUUAAGAGGAGAGGUUCACGCCUUGAAUUGAAGCCCCGGUGAACGGCGGCCGUNNNNNNNNNNNNNAACGGCGGCCGUAACUAUAACGGUCCUAAGGUAGCGAAAUUCCUUGUCGGGUAAGUUCCGACCCGCACGAAAGGCGUAACGAUCUGGGCACUGUCUCAACGGAGGACCCGGCGAAAUUGAAUUGACCGUGAAGAUGCGGUUGUCCCGUGGCAGGACAAAAAGACCCCGUGGAGCUUUACUGCAACUUGGCACUGGGAGUGGGUCUGAGAUGCGUAGGAUAGGUGGGAGGCGUUGAAGCGAGGCUUUCGGGCAGCGUGGAGCCAUCCUUGAAAUACCACCCUUCUCUGAUCUGCUUUCUAACUCGCGAGCAAGCGCGAGGACAGUGUCUGGUGGGCAGUUUGACUGGGGCGGUCGCCUCCUAAAAUGUAACGGAGGCGCACAAAGGUUCCCUCAGGGUGGAUGGAAAUCACCCGUUGAGUGCAUUGGCAUAAGGGAGCUUGACUGCGAGACCUACAAGUCGAGCAGGGGCGAAAGCCGGUCAAAGUGAUCCUACGGUACCGAGUGGAAGGGCCGUGGCUUAUCGGAUACAAGCUACCCCGGGGAUAACAGGCUUAUCUUGCCCAAGCGUCCACAGCGACGGCAAGGUUUGGCACCUCGAUGUCGGCUCGUCGCAUCCUGGGGCUGGAGUAGGUCCCAAGGGUUGGGCUGUUCGCCCAUUAAAGCGGUACGCGAGCUGGGUUCAGAACGUCGUGAGACAGUUCGGUCUCUAUCCGCCAUGGGCGUAGGAAGUUUGAGAGGAGUUGCCCCUAGUACGAGAGGACCGGGGUGAACGGACCUCUGGUGUGCGGGUUGUUCCGCCAGGAGCAUUGCCCGGUAGCCAUGUCCGGUUCGGAUAAGCGCUGAAAGCAUCUAAGUGCGAAGCCGACCUCAAGAUGAGACUUCCCACCGAGUUAAUCGGGUAAGACCACAGGAAGACUACCUGUUUGAUAGGCGCCAGGUGUAAGCGUAGUAAUGCGUUCAGCUGAGGCGUACUAAUGGUCGAGGGCUUGACCU
Molecule: ribosomal RNA, 1386 nt
Filed under: wastewater metagenome
Description: bacterial LSU rRNA
Rfam family: Bacterial large subunit ribosomal RNA
Source: RNAcentral